This 125-nucleotide small RNA is filed under the name Marmota monax (woodchuck). The record is from RNAcentral. Lineage: Eukaryota; Metazoa; Chordata; Mammalia; Rodentia; Sciuridae.
GCUGGGUGCAGUGGUGCACGUCUGUAAUCCCAGUGGCUCGGGAGGCUGAGACAGGAGAAUUGAGAGUUCAAAGCCAGCCUCAGUAAUGGUGAGGCCCUAAGCAACUCAGUGAGACCCUGUCUCUA